This 467-nucleotide ribosomal RNA is filed under the name uncultured bacterium. RNAcentral describes it as "partial 16S ribosomal RNA". It matches the Rfam family "Bacterial small subunit ribosomal RNA", at positions 28 to 507 of the family's 1533-position model. The record is from RNAcentral.
GACGAACGCUGGCGGUGUGCUUAACACAUGCAAGUCGAACGGUAAGGCCCUUUCGGGGGUCCACGAGUGGCGAACGGGUGGGUAACACGUGAGUAACCUGCCCUCAUCUCUGGGAUAUUAGUCGGAAACGGUUGCUAAUACUGGAUAUGAGCUUGCUAGGGAUCUUGUGGGUUGGAAAGAUUUUUUUGGUUGGGGAUGGACUCACGGCCUAUCAGCUUGUUGGUGGGGUAGUGGCUUACCAAGGCUUCGACGGGUAGUCGGCCUGAGAGGGCGACCGGCCACAAUGGAACUGGGAAACGGCCCAAACUCCUACGGGAGGCAGCAGGGGGGAAUAGUGCACAAUGGACGGAAGUCGGAUGCAGCAACGACGCGUGCGGGAUGACUGCCGUCGGGUUGUAAACCGCAUUCAAUUGUUACGAAGCAUUUUUGUGACGGUAGCAGGAGAAGAAGCACCGGCUAACUACGUG